CUUUGACCUCAACUCAGGUAGAGUGACUCCGUUAC
RNAcentral lists this ribosomal RNA (35 nucleotides) under uncultured fungus. Its description in RNAcentral is "partial 28S ribosomal RNA". The record is from RNAcentral. Lineage: Eukaryota; Fungi.